ACGGGUGAGUAACACGUGGGUAACCUGCCUGUAAGACUGGGAUAACUCCGGGAAACCGGAGCUAAUACCGGAUAGUUCCUUGAACCGCAUGGUUCAAGGAUGAAAGACGGUUUCGGCUGUCACUUACAGAUGGACCCGCGGCGCAGUAGCUAGUUGGUGGGGUAAUGGCUCACCAAGGCGACGAUGCGUAUCCCACCUGAGAGGGUGAUCGGCCACACUGGGACUGAGACACGGCCCAAACUCCUACGGGAGGCAGCAGUAGGGAAUCUUCCGCAAUGGACGAAAGUCUGACAGAGCAACGCCGCGUGAGUGAUGAAGGUUUUCGGAUCGUAAAGCUCUGUUGUUAGGGAAGAACAAGUGCGAGAGUAACUGUCCGCCCCCUUUACGGUACCUAACCAGAAAGCCACGGCUAACUACGUGCCAGCAGCCGCGGUAAUACGUAGGUGGCAAGCGUUGUCCGGAAUUAUUGGGCGUAAAGGGCUCGCAGGCGGUUUCUUAAGUCUGAUGUGAAAGCCCCCGGCUCAACCGGGGAGGGUCAUUGGAAACUGGGAAACUUGAGUGCAGAAGAGGAGAGUGGAAUUC
This 582-nucleotide ribosomal RNA is filed under the name Caryophanales bacterium SDB-018. RNAcentral describes it as "partial 16S rRNA". It matches the Rfam family "Bacterial small subunit ribosomal RNA", at positions 102 to 669 of the family's 1533-position model. Lineage: Bacteria; Bacillati; Bacillota; Bacilli; Caryophanales. The record is from RNAcentral.